Aedes aegypti (yellow fever mosquito) is the source of this 117-nucleotide non-coding RNA. The record is from Rfam. Lineage: Eukaryota; Metazoa; Arthropoda; Insecta; Diptera; Culicidae.
UGCCCAGCAACUCCUAUCCCUACCUCCUCGCGGAACUGGCCGGGGUACGAGUAACCUUAGGGAAGAUCGGGUAACCAGCCCCCGGUGGGAACUUUGGUCGUAUGCUGACAGGGAAGG